UUCCAAGCUGUGACCUCGUGAAGCACGUCUGCAUAUUCACAUUAAUCAAAUGUAUAUAUACAAAUGUUUUAUUUCAGAUGAGAUAUACAUAACAAUUGAAAUUUUUAGUGAAUUCUACGUAUUUGCAGAGUAAUUACAUAUCAAAACAGAAGACUGGAAACAAUUAGGAAAUUUCUCGUGGAGUCUAUAGUCACUGCAAGAAUGUCUUUGAUUAUAAGAUCUACUGGAUCAGGUUUGGUCUGGGACUAAACAACAACAACAACAACAACAACAACAACUACAGUAACAACCUAAGGUCCUAGAUGCACGAUGACACCUCUGACACUUUGUAAGAUACAGUAAAGAAUAAAAAUAAAAAUGCUCACUUCCGCCAUCCGGAACACUACGUAAUUCUGGGAUAGCUGACGACCCUUGACUAGACGAGAGCAAGUUGGACGAAAAUGACGACGAC
Long non-coding RNA from Octopus bimaculoides (California two-spot octopus), 451 nucleotides. The record is from RefSeq and is a predicted model, not a curated record. Lineage: Eukaryota; Metazoa; Mollusca; Cephalopoda; Octopoda; Octopodidae.